AAAAGAAUGAAAUGGUGACUAUGAAAAGACAAAAACGUAUUCAAAGAGUAAUAAAUUAUGAUUAUAAUUACCAUUAAUUGAUGAACGUUAAUGUAGAUUACCAUUAAUUCAUGAAACGUUAACGGAUAUACCGGAGAGGAGAGGGGAGGGGAAGGGUGGGCGAGAUGAAGAGAUGCCUAAUACGGUGAGAAUUAAAGGAGAGAGAAUUAAUACGUUAUUGGGGAUUAAUAGAAUAGGUAUAGAUAUAGAUUAUCUAUCUAUUAAUCUAAGAAUAAAGGGUUUCUUGCCACGUGGCAAGAAACAUUGUGGAUUCGUUAUGUUUAAUAGAUAUUAUAUUACUAGUGUAGUGAACUGUGCGAUGCGACGAAUAGAUAAUUAGAGAAAUAAUAAAAAAACAGUGACAAAAAGAAGAUGAGACAAUGAUGGAAGAAGCGACGAUAAGGAAUGAAAUUCAUCUUGUAAACGAUAGCCGAAGGAAGUGGAAGAAGAACAAUUCGGCCCAAUGCAGAAUUGCGAUCCGGUUUGGUUCAAGCAAAAAAAAAAAGAAAAACAUAAUUUGAUUCAAGUAAAGAAAGAGAAGAAUAUGUGGAUGACUUGAGUCGGUUCAGGGGAGCCCGCUCUGAAUAAUGAAUGAUUUGGUUUAAGUAAAUAAAAAGAAAAAUUCGGUUUGGUUCAAACAAAGAAAGAGAUAAAUAUAUAGAGAAUUUGAGCCGGUUUGGGGUGGAGCCCACACCCAACAAUGAAGUGAAUAUUGCAAUGUGGCAAAUUUAGGAAGAAUAAUACAUAGAAGUAGAUAGAUAUAGAUAUAGAUAGAGAGAAUUGCAUUGGAAUACUAUUAAUAGUAUCUGUGCUCUUUUGCUAUCGAGUUUUUAACACUUAUAAAUGAAAAAUUAUAGGGUUAGGAUGAUGGUGGUCUCCCAGGAUUUACUUGUGGUCUCCCUAAAGUUGAGAUAGUGGUUGGUUAAAUAGUAUGAUCUAAAAGAUAUAAUUGAUAAAAUUGUAGAUUUAACGAUUAAAAAAUUAAUAGCAAAAAAAGCCAAAUACUAUUAAUAAUAUUCCAGCUCCACUCUAGAUAUAGAUUACUAGUAUAGAACCCGUACUUCACUGCAGAUAAAUAAAUUAUGGUUAGUUGAUAGUAGUUUUUUGGAAGUGUUUUAAUAAAUCAAAAGAUGUUAUUAAAUAGACACUUUUUUAAAAAAUAUAAGCAAAACUAAUGUAAAGACUAACAAACUUUUAGAUGAAAUAAUUACAUAUAAGGGAUAAUUGCAUAUAUACCUCUCAAAACUUUGCAAAUAUCUUAUUUACCCCUAUUUUUUAUUUCUUUCCAAUAUACCCUCUAUAUGUUUCUCCGUUAUUUCAAAAUAUCCAUGCAGUUACCACCCGUUAAGUUAACUUGGGUUAAACGUGAGUUAAAUAUCUACCACAGUUAAAAAAAAUUAAAAUGCCACUUUUGUUCUUAAAUUAAGGACAAAUAAGAAAGGUUCGUGAUAGUAGAAGGGUAUAUUUGAAAAGACCAAAAAGUAAAAUACUUUUUGUGCCCCUAAUUUAAGAACAAAUAAGAAAAGUCACUGAUGGUAGAAGGGUAUAUUUGAAAGGGCAAAAUAGUAAAAAAAAAUCAAAAUACCUUUUUUGCUGUGAUGCUCAAAGGGUAUAUUUGAAAGGGCAAAAAGUCAAAAUAGUUUUUUUGCCCCUAGCCUAAGGCAAAUAAGAAAAGUCGGUAAUAAUGGAAAGAUAAAUUCGAAAAGAUAAAAUAAUAAUUUUACAGAGAUACCGGUUAUUUAUAACAACUUACUAACAGAACUUAAAACGUUAAAAACAUAUUUUCUU
RNAcentral lists this long non-coding RNA (1827 nucleotides) under Ananas comosus (pineapple). RNAcentral describes it as "long non-coding RNA (ACOM_LNC008426)". Lineage: Eukaryota; Viridiplantae; Streptophyta; Magnoliopsida; Poales; Bromeliaceae. The record is from RNAcentral.